AAUCCUGGCUCAGGAUGAACGCUAGCUACAGGCUUAACACAUGCAAGUCGAGGGGCAGCAUCAUCAAAGCUUGCUUUGAUGGAUGGCGACCGGCGCACGGGUGAGUAACACGUAUCCAACCUGCCGACAACACUGGGAUAGCCUUUCGAAAGAAAGAUUAAUACCGGAUGGUAUAGUUUUCCCGCAUGGGGUGACUAUUAAAGAAUUUCGGUUGUCGAUGGGGAUGCGUUCCAUUAGGCAGUUGG
This 245-nucleotide ribosomal RNA is filed under the name uncultured bacterium. RNAcentral's name for it is "partial 16S ribosomal RNA". It matches the Rfam family "Bacterial small subunit ribosomal RNA", at positions 15 to 252 of the family's 1533-position model. The record is from RNAcentral.